This 794-nucleotide ribosomal RNA is filed under the name uncultured bacterium. Its description in RNAcentral is "bacterial SSU rRNA". It matches the Rfam family "Bacterial small subunit ribosomal RNA", at positions 8 to 796 of the family's 1533-position model. The record is from RNAcentral.
AGAGUUUGAUCAUGGCUCAGGAUGAACGCUAGCGGCAGGCUUAAUACAUGCAAGUCGAGGGGCAGCAUGGUUGUAGCAAUACAACUGAUGGCGACCGGCAAACGGGUGCGGAACACGUACGCAAUCUACCCAAAACUGAUGAAUAGCCCUCCGAAAGGAGGAUUAAUACAUCGUAACUUAAUGAAGUGGCAUCACUUUAUUAAUAUAGCUCCGGCGGUUUUGGAUGAGCGUGCGCCUGAUUAGGUAGUUGGCGGGGUAACGGCCCACCAAGCCUGCGAUCAGUAACUGGUGUGAGAGCACGACCAGUCACACGGGCACUGAGACACGGGCCCGACUCCUACGGGAGGCAGCAGUAAGGAAUAUUGGUCAAUGGACGCAAGUCUGAACCAGCCAUGCCGCGUGAAGGAUGAAGGUCCUCUGGAUUGUAAACUUCUUUUAUGUGGGACGAAACCUCUUAUUCUUAAGAGACUGACGGUACCAUAGGAAUAAGCACCGGCUAACUCCGUGCCAGCAGCCGCGGUAAUACGGAGGGUGCAAGCGUUAUCCGGAUUCACUGGGUUUAAAGGGAGCGUAGGAGGGCAGGUAAGUCAGUGGUGAAAUCUUCGAGCUUAACUCGGAAACUGCCGUUGAUACUAUCUGUCUUGAAUACCGUGGAGAUGAGCGGAAUAUCAUGUAGCGGUGAAAUGCUUAGAUAUGACAUAGAACACCAAUUGCGAAGGCAGCUCGUUACACGAAUAUUGACUCUGAGGCUCGAAAGCGUGGGGAUCAAACAGGAUUAGAUACCCUAGUAGUCC